This is a non-coding RNA of Trichonephila inaurata madagascariensis, 78 nucleotides long. NCBI's taxonomy places the organism in Eukaryota, Metazoa, Arthropoda, Arachnida, Araneae, Nephilidae. The record is from the annotation of a GenBank genome assembly.
AGCAGAGUGGCGCAGUGGAAGCGUGCUGGGCUCAAAACCUUGAGUUCCGUGGAUCCAAACCACGCUCUUAUAUAGUUU